Long non-coding RNA from Pygocentrus nattereri (red-bellied piranha), 199 nucleotides. RefSeq lists it as uncharacterized. The transcript is spliced from 3 exons. The record is from RefSeq and is a predicted model, not a curated record. Lineage: Eukaryota; Metazoa; Chordata; Actinopteri; Characiformes; Serrasalmidae.
AGCGGCCCCACACUUCUGCAUACGACUCUGUAAAGAGAUCUGAGACGUUUUCUUCACUAAUGCAGUCUUGCAGACAGCUGUACGGCAUCCUGUGGGGUAAACGUAUCAGAUAUGACUUGGUCUUCAGUGAUUUUACCACACAUGAAAUGAGCUGGCGCUGAUUGUGUCAAAUUGCUACGUACAGAAGCUUUCUAAAGAG